GCCGGCGCAUAUCAAAGGGACGGGCCGCCUGUGGCCACGCCUCCCGGCUGCGGCGGAGGCUCCGGGAGCCCGAGCCAAGGUGGGAUUGGCCGCUGGGGGAAAGGGUAGGAGGGUGGCGAUGGAGCACGUCCCUGCCGAGGAGCGCAGCAGAUUUUCAAGGCGCUUCUGAGGUCUUCUGGCAAGUGGAAGUUCCUGUUCAAGGGUUUGCCUCUCCUGGGCUGACCUACAAGGAGGGGUUUGAAAAAUGGAGGGGAAACCUGAUCUCUCCAAGAACGAGUUUUUCAGAGACUCUUCCAGGAGGACAUUUCCAGUGAGAGGUGACAUCAGACACCUAGUAAGAGGGUAUCUCUUUGCAAAAUAUUACCUGGACAGGUGACUUUCCUGCUUUCCUGCUAAAAAUGCCCAACAACUUUCUGUUGCCCUUGGGAUAAAGUGCAAACGCCAGCUCAUGCUC
Molecule: non-coding RNA, 454 nt
Organism: Microcebus murinus (gray mouse lemur)
Lineage: Eukaryota; Metazoa; Chordata; Mammalia; Primates; Cheirogaleidae
Source: RefSeq, a predicted model, not a curated record